ACAGCAGCCGCCGCGGUAAUACGAAGGGGGCUAGCGUUGCACGGAAUGACUGGGCGUAAAGGGCGCGUAGGCGGUGGCCAAAGUCAGGCGUGAAAUUCCCGGGCUCAACCUGGGGGCUGCGCUUGAUACUUGGUUGCUUGAGUGGGGAAGAGGGUCGUGGAAUUCCCAGUGUAGAGGUGAAAUUCGUAGAUAUUGGGAAGAACACCGGUGGCGAAGGCGGCGACCUGGUCCUUGACUGACGCUGAGGCGCGAAAGCGUGGGGAGCAAACAGGAUUAGAUACCCCAGUAGUCCCUGUCUCUUAUAC
This 305-nucleotide ribosomal RNA is filed under the name uncultured bacterium. Its description in RNAcentral is "partial 16S ribosomal RNA". It matches the Rfam family "Bacterial small subunit ribosomal RNA", at positions 508 to 807 of the family's 1533-position model. The record is from RNAcentral.